GGUGAACGCUGGCGGCGUGCCUAAUACAUGCCAGUCGAGCGAACGGACGAGAAGCUUGCUUCUCUGAUGUUAGCGGCGGACGGGUGAGUAACACGUGGAUAACCUACCUAUAAGACUGGGAUAACUUCGGGAAACCGGAGCUAAUACCGGAUGAUAUUUUGAACCGCAUGGUUCAAAAGUGAAAGACGGUCUUGCUGUCACUUAUAGAUGGAUCCGCGCUGCAUUAGCUAGUUGGUAAGGUAACGGCUUACCAAGGCAACGAUGCAUAGCCGACCUGAGAGGGUGAUCGGCCACACUGGAACUGAGACACGGUACAGACUCCUACGGGAGGCAGCAGUAGGGAAUCUUCCGCAAUGGGCGAAAGCCUGACGGAGCAACGCCGCGUGAGUGAUGAAGGUCUUCGGAUCGUAAAACUCUGUUAUUAGGGAAGAACAUAUGUGUAAGUAACUGUGCACAUCUUGACGGUACCUAAUCAGAAAGCCACGGCUAACUACGUG
Molecule: ribosomal RNA, 497 nt
Filed under: uncultured bacterium
Lineage: Bacteria
Description: partial 16S ribosomal RNA
Rfam family: Bacterial small subunit ribosomal RNA
Source: RNAcentral